AUUGAACGCUGGCGGAAUGCUUUACACAUGCAAGUCGAACGGCAGCACGGACUUCGGUCUGGUGGCGAGUGGCGAACGGGUGAGUAAUAUAUCGGAACGUGCCCAGUCGUGGGGGAUAACGUAGUGAAAAUUACGCUAAUACCGCAUACGAUCUACGGAUGAAAGCGGGGGAUCGCAAGACCUCGCGCGAUUGGAGCGGCCGAUAUCAGAUUAGGUAGUUGGUGAGGUAAAGGCUCACCAAGCCAACGAUCUGUAGCUGGUCUGAGAGGACGACCAGCCACACUGGAACUGAGACACGGUCCAGACUCCUACGGGAGGCAGCAGUGGGGAAUUUUGGACAAUGGACGCAAGUCUGAUCCAGCCAUUCCGCGUGCAGGACGAAGGCCUUCGGGUUGUAAACUGCUUUUGUACAGAACGAAAAGGUUUCUAUUAAUACUAGGAGCUCAUGACGGUACUGUAAGAAUAAGCACCGGCUAACUACGUG
RNAcentral lists this ribosomal RNA (484 nucleotides) under uncultured bacterium. Its description in RNAcentral is "bacterial SSU rRNA". It matches the Rfam family "Bacterial small subunit ribosomal RNA", at positions 30 to 507 of the family's 1533-position model. The record is from RNAcentral.